RNAcentral lists this ribosomal RNA (797 nucleotides) under uncultured crenarchaeote. RNAcentral describes it as "bacterial SSU rRNA". It matches the Rfam family "Archaeal small subunit ribosomal RNA", at positions 52 to 859 of the family's 1478-position model. The record is from RNAcentral. Lineage: Archaea; Thermoproteati; Thermoproteota.
UGCGAGUCACGUAGCAAUACGUAGCAUACGGCUCAGUAACACGUAGUCAACAUGCCCAGGGGACGUGGAUAACCUCGGGAAACUGAGGAUAAACCGCGAUAGGUCAUAAUGUCUGGAAUGAUUUAUGGCUCAAAUCUACAUGGCCCCUGGAUUGGACUGCGGCCGAUCAGGCUGUUGGUGAGGUAAUGGCCCACCAAACCUAAAACCGGUACGGGCUCUGAGAGGAGAAGCCCGGAGAUGGGCACUGAGACAAGGGCCCAGGCCCUAUGGGGCGCAGCAGGCGCGAAAACUCUGCAAUAAGCGAAAGCUUGACAGGGUUAUUCUGAGUGAUUUCCGCUAAGGAGAUCUUUUGGCACCUCUAAAAAUGGUGCAGAAUAAGGGGUGGGCAAGCCUGGUGUCAGCCGCCGCGGUAAUACCAGCACCCCGAGUGGUCGGGACGAUUAUUGGGCCUAAAGCAUCCGUAGCCGGUUCUACAAGUCUUCCGUUAAAUCCACCUGCUUAACAGUUGGGCUGCAGAGGAUACUAUAGAGCUAGGAGGCGGGAGAGGCAAGCGGUACUUAGUGGGUAGGGGUAAAAUCCGUUGAUCCACUGAAGACCACCAGUGGCGAAGGCGGCUUGCCAGAACGCGCUCGACGGUGAGGGAUGAAAGCUGGGGGAGCAAACCGGAUUAGAUACCCGGGUAGUCCCAGCUGUAAACGAUGCAGACUCGGUGAUGAAUAGGCUUCGUGCCUAUUCAGUGCCGCAGGGAAGCCGUUAAGUCUGCCGCCUGGGGAGUACGGUCGCAAGACUGAACUUAA